CAAACAUUUUCCUAAUUUUAAGCACGGUUCCUCACUUCACUAUCCCGCACAUCGGCCGCUCUCCAACCCCCCUGUCUCUCUCCGACCUCCGUGUCUGACAAUAUAAACUAAAGUUCAGUCGAUCAGGAAAAGGCCGACAAACGGAAAAUACACAAGAAGACGGGAAGGCGGUAUGGAGAUCAGUAAAGCUUUGCAUCCAUAGAUGGAAGUUGAGUGUUGUGUCUUGUUUUGAAGAAAGAGGUCAUGCUUCAGUUGGUCAAACUGAAUAGAUACAGUAAAUUUGUUCCUCAAAAGCUAGCAUUAUUUCGUACCCUUGCUUUUGAAUCAACCUGCCAGCCUCACUCUUCUGUAGAAAAAGAAAUUGAAAUAGAGAGAAUCAUCAAAGUUGUUAAUGAUCAUCCUUUUCUUGAUCACCCACUUCACCCUACUCUUCUGCAACAUAUCCCGCAAUCGGUGCUUUCACCUCCGCUUGUGAAAAAUGUGCUUGGUCGCCUCUUUGCAGCACAUUCCAAUGGCCUUAAAGCCUUUGAAUUCUUCAAAUUCUCCCUUCAAUACUCCCACUUCCGCCCAAGUUCAGAUGCUUUUGAGAAGACACUCCAUAUCCUUGCACGAAUGCGCUACUUUGAUAAAGCUUGGGAAUUGAUGGAAGAAAUCCAACGAACACACCCUUCCUUGUUAACCCUAAAAUCCAUGGGCAUCAUGUUAUCGAGAAUCGCUAAGUUCCAAACCUUCGAAGAUACCCUUGAAGCAUUCAAGAGGAUGGAGAAAAAUAUAUUUGUAGGGAGGAAAUUUGGCACCGAUGAGUUCAAUGUACUACUUAGAGCAUUUUGUACGCAAAGGCAGAUGAAGGAGGCAAGGUCUGUGUUCAACAGGAUGCAUCCUCGAUUUUCUCCCAACACCAAGACCAUGAAUAUUUUGCUGUUGGGUUUCAAGGAAUCAGGUGAUGUUACUGCGGUAGAACUGUUCUACCAUGAGAUGGUUCGAAGAGGCUUUAAGCCGAAUAAUGUGACUUACAAUAUUAGAAUUGAUGCUUACUGCAAGAAAGGAUGUUUCGGUGAUGGUUUGAGACUUCUUACAGAAAUGCAAGGCGUAAAUUGUUUGCCUACAAUAGAAACAAUAACAACAUUGAUCCAUGGCGCAGGGGUUGCUCAAAACAUAGCUAAAGCAAGAGAGUUGUUCGAAGAGAUUCCCAUGAGAAACUUUAGGGCUGAUACUGGUGCUUAUAAUGCUUUAUUGAGUUCUCUUGUAAGAUGCAGGGACAUGGAGUCUGCAACUGGCUUAAUGGAUGAGAUGGAAGAGAAAGGCAUUGGGCAUGACAAUAUCACAUACCAUACUAUGUUCUUUGGCUUAAUGAAGUCAAAAAAUUUGGACUCUGUUUCUGAACUCUUUGACAAGAUGACAAAGAAAAACUUUGUUCCAAAGACGCGAACAGUGGUGAUGUUGAUGAAAUUCUUUUGUGCAAAUCGUCAGCCUGAUUUGGGGUUGAAUUUGUGGGGCUACCUAUUAGAGAGAGGUCACUGCCCCCAUGGCCAUGCAUUGGAUAUAUUGGCAACAUCAUUGUGCUCGCAUGGGAAGGUGCAAGAAGCUUUUGAGUGCUCCAAACAAAUGUUGGAGAGAGGAAGGCAUGUGAGCGAGGCGGUGUUUCGAAUGUUGGAGAGGUUUCUGCUGCAGGCUGGAGACACAGAAAAGUUAAGGAUGCUUGACGUGAUGAUCAAACGACUACAAAAUAUUUUGCCACCAUCAAGAGGUCAUGCUACUGGCACUUGGCAUUCCCAUUCAUAGGCUUGUGCAAGCUGCUGAUUCAGUUUCGGUAUGUCUAUCAAAAGGAUUGGGCGCUCCAGCUGGAACUGUCAUUGUUGGUUCAAAAGAUUUUAUUACUAGGGCAAAGACUCUAAGGAAGACCUUGGGUGGUGGAAUGAGACAAGUUGGCGUCCUUUGUGCUGCUGCUUUAGUUGCAGUGCAAGAGAUUGUUGGAAAGCUCGAGAGUGAUCACAACAAUGCUAAGUUUCUAGCACGUAAAUUUUUUCUCCUGUUUAAUACAUUAUCAUAUACAUACAGUGGUAGACCCAUAAAUUCAUGUGUUAUUUUGGCUGAUGUUUCUCUUUUACAUUUUUAUAAAUUUGGUUUUCAGAAGGACUGAAUAGAAUUGAAGGACUAAAAGUGGUUGUCAAUUCAGUGGAGACCAACAUAAUGUACCGGUUCCUGCUGCAUGUGUUAUAUUGAUUUGCCUUUUCGCUCUGCAACACUAUGGGAGCCAUAAAAUUGGUUUUAUGUUUGCUCCAGUUGUCAUUUUAUGGCUCUUGCUCAUCAGUGGAGUGAGUCUAUAUAAUAUCUGUCAUUAUGACCCCCAAAUCAUCUAUGCUAUCUCUCCAACAUAUAUGUACAGAUUCAUGAGAAGAAUUAGCCCUGGAAGUUGGGGAUUAUUAGGCAGUAUUCUCCUUUGUGCAGCAGGUUGGAUCAGAAGCAAUGUUUGCAGAUCUAGGUCAUUUCUCGAAGAGAUCUAUCACGGUUACUUUUGUCUGCCUAAUAUAUCCAGCCCUUGUUUUGUGUUACGCUGGUCAAGCAGCUUUUAUCUCCAAGAACUUGGGUGUUUCUAAGGAUGUUUUUCUUCUCAGUGAAUCUGUACCCAAUAGAUCGAUUCGCCACAUCUUCAGGGUGUUAUCACUAUUUGCCUCAGCUGUAGGAAGCCAAGCAACAAUUACUGCCAGUUUCUCCAUUAUAAACCAGUGCCUGGCACUUGGUUGCUUUCCUAGAGUUAAAGUUAUCCAUACAUCAGAUAAGAUACACGGGCAAGUAUACAUUCCAGAUGUCAACUGGAUGUUGAUGCUUUUCAACAUAGCAAUCACCAUUGGUUUCCGUAACAUUUCACUGAUUGGAAAUGCAACAGGUAUGUUUGUGUAC
Non-coding RNA from Camellia sinensis, 2901 nucleotides. Lineage: Eukaryota; Viridiplantae; Streptophyta; Magnoliopsida; Ericales; Theaceae. The record is from RefSeq and is a predicted model, not a curated record.